Molecule: ribosomal RNA, 673 nt
Filed under: Sporobolus diandrus
Lineage: Eukaryota; Viridiplantae; Streptophyta; Magnoliopsida; Poales; Poaceae
Description: eukaryotic LSU rRNA
Rfam family: 5.8S ribosomal RNA (bases 247-402)
Source: RNAcentral
ACCUGCGGAAGGAUCAUUGUCGUGACCCUAACCAAAAUAGACUGUGAACAUGUCAUCAAUUCCACCGGGCGAUGGCCAUAGUGUCGUCUCCUGGCAUGGGCCUCUAUCCUUCUUAUGACGGGUGGGGUCCACAAAAGAACCCACGACGUCGGAUGACGUCAAGGAACACUUUUAUUUAUUGCUUGCACAAUGGUGUGAACUUCUUGUUUGAUACACCUUGUGCUGUGAUGCUACCUUAAUCCACAAGACUCUCGGCAACGGAUAUCUUGGCUCUCACAUCGAUGAAGAACGUAGCAAAAUGCGAUACCUGGUGUGAAUUGCAGAAUCCCGUGAACCAUCGAGUUUUUGAACGCAAGUUGCGCCUGAGGCCACUUGGUCGAGGGCACGUCUGCCUGGGCGUCACGCGAAAAGACACUCCCCACCCUUCAUGGAGCGGGAUGUGGUGUUUGGCCUUCCGUGUCAUGUGAAUGGUUCGGUGGACUAAAGUAUAGGCUGCUAGCUAUGGGGCUGGUCAUAACACUUGGUGGAUGACAAAUGUUGUUCUCGGAGUUGUGACAUGUAUUGCUUCUAGCAAUAGUGUGGCUGUUAUGACCCAUGCAUCGGAGCUUUGAUUGCUUCAACCAUGACCCCAGGUCAGUCGGGACUACCCGCUGAAUUUAAGCAUAUCAAUAAG